Schistosoma margrebowiei is the source of this 45-nucleotide non-coding RNA. The record is from Rfam. Lineage: Eukaryota; Metazoa; Platyhelminthes; Trematoda; Strigeidida; Schistosomatidae.
AUCCAGCUGACGAGCCCCAAAUAGGACGAAACACAAGUCUUGGAU